This 468-nucleotide ribosomal RNA is filed under the name uncultured bacterium. Its description in RNAcentral is "bacterial SSU rRNA". It matches the Rfam family "Bacterial small subunit ribosomal RNA", at positions 28 to 524 of the family's 1533-position model. The record is from RNAcentral.
GACGAACGCUGGCGGCAUGCCUAACACAUGCAAGUCUAGGGGUAGCAAUACCACUGGCGCACGGGUGAGUAACACGUAGGUUAUCUGCCCCCAUCACAGACAUAACCCCGGGAAACCGGGGCUAAUAUCUGAUGAGGUCGCGAGAUCAAAGCUUCGGCGGAUGGGGAUGAGCCUGCGGCUGAUUAGCUAGUUGGUGAGGUAAUGGCUCACCAAGGCGACGAUCAGUAGCUGGUCUGAGAGGACGAACAGCCACACUGGAACUGAGACACGGUCCAGACUCCUACGGGAGGCAGCAGUGAGGAAUAUUGGUCAAUGGGAGCAAUCCUGAACCAGCAAUGCCGCGUGUGGGAUGACAGGGCUUCGCCUUGUAAACCACUGUCGGACGGGACGAAAGGAGGCCUCGGGGCCUCUGGGGACGGUACCGUCAAAGGAAGGGUCGGCUAACUACGUGCCAGCAGCCGCGGUAAU